UGUUUCCUAGUGGAACUAACUGAACCAAUUUAGUGUAAGACAAGGAGACCAAUGUGACGAUGCGGUGUGCAAGCCUGUCAUAAGCAGCAGGAAGCCUGAAGCAUCGAUUAGGUCACCACCAUAGAGGUAAAUCCGGCUCAGUUGACUAGUUUGGCUGGGACACCU
Molecule: non-coding RNA, 165 nt
Filed under: Legionellales bacterium
Lineage: Bacteria; Pseudomonadati; Pseudomonadota; Gammaproteobacteria; Legionellales
Description: 6S RNA
Rfam family: 6S / SsrS RNA
About the family: E. coli 6S RNA was the first non coding RNA to be sequenced, but its function was unknown until recently. It consists of 184 nucleotides that fold into an extended hairpin structure with a large single-stranded internal bulge.
Source: RNAcentral